CCUACGGGAGGCAGCAGUGGGGAAUCUUGGACAAUGGGCGCAAGCCUGAUCCAGCAAUGCCGCGUGGGUGAAGACGGCCUGCGGGUUGUAAAGCCCUUUUGGCGGGGAAGAAAGCCCUGGGUUAAACAGACUCAGGGGGUGACGUUACCCGCUGAAGAAGCACCGGCCAACUCCGUGCCAGCAGCCGCGGUAAUACGGAGGGUGCGAGCGUUAAUCGGAAUUACUGGGCGUAAAGCGCACGUAGGCGGUGAGUUAAGUCAGUUGUGAAAGCCCUGGGCUCAACCUGGGAACGGCAAUUGAUACUGACCGACUGGAGUGUACCAGAGGACCGUGGAAUUCCCGGUGUAGCGGUGAAAUUCGUAGAUAUUCGGAGGAACACCGGUGGCGAAGGCGGCUUCCUGGUCUAUUUCUGACGCUCAGACGCGACAGCUAGGGUAGUAAACGGGAUUAGAGACCCCGGUAAUCCUAGCCGUAAACGAUGUAAACUUGGUGUCGGUGGCUUAAACACUAUCGGUACCGCAGCAAACGCGAUAAGUUUACCGCCUGGGGACUACGGCCGCAAGGUUAAAACUCAAAGGAAUUGACGG
RNAcentral lists this ribosomal RNA (587 nucleotides) under uncultured bacterium. RNAcentral's name for it is "bacterial SSU rRNA". It matches the Rfam family "Bacterial small subunit ribosomal RNA", at positions 338 to 916 of the family's 1533-position model. The record is from RNAcentral.